GCCGUGAUCGUAUAGUGGUUAGUACAUUGCGUUGUGGCCGCAAUAACCAAGGUUCAAAUAAUAGUCAUGUCA
This is a non-coding RNA of Nematostella vectensis (starlet sea anemone), 72 nucleotides long. The record is from Rfam. NCBI's taxonomy places the organism in Eukaryota, Metazoa, Cnidaria, Anthozoa, Actiniaria, Edwardsiidae.